Long non-coding RNA from Alosa sapidissima (American shad), 495 nucleotides. RefSeq lists it as uncharacterized. The record is from RefSeq and is a predicted model, not a curated record. NCBI's taxonomy places the organism in Eukaryota, Metazoa, Chordata, Actinopteri, Clupeiformes, Clupeidae. The transcript has 3 exons.
AUCUUGCCUAAAGGCCGCCUAUUUGAAAGACAAUGUAGAACAACAAAAGAUUUAUGAGUCUGUCAGAUGAGUGUUUGACGGCCUCGACGCAGUGCUAUUCCAAAUUAACCGUGGAUUGUGGAGAAGAUAGGCACCAUCACAUCUCAUCACAUCACAGGGUUUUGCCCAGACAUCAGGCACAGUUCUUCUACCUGAGCCCCCGUUUAUAGAUGGUCUCAUCUAACGGCACAGCGAGGAGUGCCAUCAUUCACUGAGAUUAGGCUGUCUACCACCUCUGCCCCGCAUUUCCAGGCCUACCAGCCCCAAGUGAUGUAAGAGAACACUGCCCAUGAACCUGCAGCCAUUGCUCGCUGUUUAAACUAUCAAAGAAUAAAAAACACAUCCCAUGCUGUUAAACCAAAGUAUAUCUUCAUAAGUAUACAGCACUGUCAAAUGGUCCAUAUUAAAGAUGUGGUUGUUUGUACAUGUGAGUGUUGUGGUAAAAAAGAAAAAAAC